AAAAAAAUGUUGAUUUAACACCCGGCUGACUCAUUCUCCAUUCAUUUAAUAAUUCCGUCUGUCACAUUGAGCAUUGCAAGGGCCCAGGGCUUAUGCACCACAGCAACGGUCCGUGAGCAGCUGUGUCCGGACUCGAGCUUCAUUGGUGCCACAUUAAAUGACCUUUUGGGGGGUCAACAUUUUCAAUGGCUUUAACUGAAGAUUGGUGCAAGUUGUAAAUUCAUUGUGUUCUUUGCCAUGGAUUAACAUUUCUGGAGCUUCCAGGGUACAAGAAAAACAGAACAAGGAAGUGGAGCGACAGUCAAUGGAUUUUACGGAGGAGAGGUUUGUAGACAGCCCCUUAAACCCUCCACCCCAUCUUCAAUCUCUCUGUUAAGAGCUGCUCAAGUUGCAUCUUGGCCAACACCUCAUAGAUGGCAUUAUUGGGAAAUGGCCUAUUGUUCUACUUCAACCAAUCAGAGAAGCUGGAACCACCCCUUCAUUUGAAUACUGAACCGCUAUAUAAGGGCACAGUUCAGACCUGGUCUUCAUCAUUUGCAGGUGGAUCAACUCAAUUGCCAACUGAGGUCAACAUCACAAGCCAUGGCUGUUCUCAAAAGAGAGAGGAAACACGAUGUUCUGAGAAGGAACUGGCGCAACACACAAGCCAAGAUCAUUAGCAAACGUGGCAAGAUCCAUGCCAAACCCAAGAGGAACAUGUGCAUCAUAAGGUUUCCCAGAAGCAGCUAUUUAACCUCGUGCCCUCUGGUGUCCGGGUAUUUCAACAGGAAGAUGCGGGACCAAAUCCUUUCCUUGCACAAGAGUAGACACUCCUGGAGCCCUUGCAUAGCUGACACUCCCCAGAAGUUGUCUCUGAGGCUUAACCGGCAACAAAAACCACAGCCCUUUACCCGGGGUGGACGUCAUGCUUUGCAAGUCACGCUCCGGGAAGUGGCCCUAAAGAAACGAGCAAAGUGGGUGGUGGAACCAACCAGGAAGAGGAGAAGAUACUCGGACAAUGAGAUCUUCUACAGGUUGGCCAACUGUCCCUCCCUAUCAGAAGUUGCAGGCACCUCUACUGAGGGAGAGGUGGAGGACUUAGCCUCCCAUGCUCCGGGGAUACUCCAACCAAGUGCCAAUGAAUUGCAAGAAGCUUUCAGCUAAAUGAACGGCCCUCGCUUCUUCUCGGCCCGGCAAGCAAGCUUCAAGAAGAGCCGAGAUAGAAGAAGAAGAAGAAUGGGGGGGGGGAAAUGAAGCCAUUAACCUGCAAAAAAGAUCCAGUAAUUUUGGGGGAGUCCCAACUGCACAUUUUUUAAUCCUGUGCUGAUUUUUUGAUGAAAUUAGUAUUUAUCAAUCCUUAAAAGAGAAAGAAAGGGGGGGAAAACCAUUAUUUGAAACCAUCGGUGAAAUUUUGCCACCUGGAGAAAGAAGACGGAGUAGCUCCACAAAAACAAGAACAUGAAGAUCUCCCAUCGUACUGUAGCGACAACGAAAUAACUUGUCCUAUCGAAUUCCCCGUUCCUCAAGGAUAUCCAUCUCGAAAUCCUAAUAAAAGCAGGAUCUUUUGCAAGGCAA
Molecule: long non-coding RNA, 1554 nt
Organism: Crotalus tigris (Tiger rattlesnake)
Lineage: Eukaryota; Metazoa; Chordata; Lepidosauria; Squamata; Viperidae
Exons: 2
Source: RefSeq, a predicted model, not a curated record